RNAcentral lists this unclassified non-coding RNA (243 nucleotides) under Cladosporium exasperatum. RNAcentral's name for it is "sequence contains 5.8S rRNA gene". The stretch from base 1 to 53 matches the Rfam family "5.8S ribosomal RNA", at positions 102 to 154 of the family's 154-position model. The record is from RNAcentral. Lineage: Eukaryota; Fungi; Ascomycota; Dothideomycetes; Cladosporiales; Cladosporiaceae.
GAACGCACAUUGCGCCCCCUGGUAUUCCGGGGGGCAUGCCUGUUCGAGCGUCAUUUCACCACUCAAGCCUCGCUUGGUAUUGGGCAACGCGGUCCGCCGCGUGCCUCAAAUCGACCGGCUGGGUCUUCUGUCCCCUAAGCGUUGUGGAAACUAUUCGCUAAAGGGUGUUCGGGAGGCUACGCCGUAAAACAACCCCAUUUCUAAGGUUGACCUCGGAUCAGGUAGGGAUACCCGCUGAACUUA